GUGUCAGCCGCCGCGGUAAGACGAACCGUGCGAACGUUGUUCGGAAUCACUGGGCUUAAAGGGCGCGUAGGCGGGCGAGCAAGUCCGGGGUGAAAGCCUCCGGCUUAACCGGAGAAGGGCCUUGGAUACUGCUCGUCUUGAGGGAGGUAGGGGCUUGUGGAACUUCCGGUGGAGCGGUGAAAUGCGUUGAUAUCGGAAGGAACGCCGGUGGCGAAAGCGACAAGCUGGCCCUCUUCUGACGCUGAGGCGCGAAAGCUAGGGGAGCAAACGGGAUUAGAAACCCCGGUAGUCC
RNAcentral lists this ribosomal RNA (292 nucleotides) under uncultured bacterium. Its description in RNAcentral is "partial 16S ribosomal RNA". It matches the Rfam family "Bacterial small subunit ribosomal RNA", at positions 505 to 796 of the family's 1533-position model. The record is from RNAcentral.